RNAcentral lists this small RNA (76 nucleotides) under Xanthomonas oryzae pv. oryzicola. Its description in RNAcentral is "sX9 sRNA". It matches the Rfam family "Xanthomonas sRNA sX9". Lineage: Bacteria; Pseudomonadati; Pseudomonadota; Gammaproteobacteria; Lysobacterales; Lysobacteraceae. The record is from RNAcentral.
AUGUACCACGCGUGCACUGCGGUUGUGAGUGCGCCGUCCGCGCCCACCUGACAGCGCCCGCUACGUUGUGUUAGCC